GAGAAACACUGAGACCUCUAAGCCUUGUUACCAAGAAUGUCUCCUGUCAUGGCCUCCCAGAAACUAAAGAGGAGCAAUUGGGAGUGUUCUCAGCAUUAAGUCUUUGUGCAGACAAGGGGAGUGGCAGGGAGAGAGGUCUCUGCCUGGACAUUUUAUUAAAUGGGCCCUGGGGGAAGCACAGAUCCACAUCAUCCCAGAUGAACCCAUGACCCUGCACAAUAGAGACCUGAGAGGCAGAUGUGUGGUGCCUUUGACUUGGAAAACUUUUCUGCCAUGGCUCCCAUUUCACCCAAGUUUGGUACCAUUUUUCAAGUUUAGUCAUCCAUUCACCUUGGAGGCCCAGACUUUUCUCAUCUCCCCUUGUAAAGGACAUGCUGGCUGGCUGGCUGCUUUCUUCUGGAGCCCUUGGUUUCUUAAACGAUAAUGAAUGAAAGAUCCAAAUCUGUCCCACACAGGUAAUCUUUGCCA
Molecule: long non-coding RNA, 468 nt
Filed under: Ictidomys tridecemlineatus (thirteen-lined ground squirrel)
Lineage: Eukaryota; Metazoa; Chordata; Mammalia; Rodentia; Sciuridae
Description: lncRNA (ENSSTOG00000029711.1)
Source: RNAcentral